AGGGUUUGAUUAUGGCUCAGAUUGAACGCUGGCGGUAUGCUUAACACAUGCAAGUCGAACGGAAACGAAACUAGCUUGCUAGUAGGCGUCGAGUGGCGGACGGGUGAGUAACGCGUAGGAAUCUGCCUGAUAGUGGGGGAUAGCCCGAAGAAAUUCGGAUUAAUACCGCAUAAUCUAUUCGUAGUAAAGUGGGGGACUUUCGAGCCUCACGCUAUCAGAUGAGCCUGCGUAAGAUUAGCUUGUUGGUAGGGUAAAAGCCUACCAAGGCUACGAUCUUUAGCUGGUCUGAGAGGAUGAUCAGCCACAUCGGGACUGAGACACGGCCCGAACUCCUACGGGAGGCAGCAGUGGGGAAUAUUGGACAAUGGGGGCAACCCUGAUCCAGCAAUACCGCGUGUGUGAAGAAGGCCUGAGGGUUGUAAAGCACUUUCAAUUGUGAAGAAAAGUUAACGGUUAAUAACCGUUGACCUUGACGUUAACUUUAGAAGAAGCACCGGCUAACUCCGUGCCAGCAGCCGCGGUAAUACGGAGGGUGCAAGCGUUAAUCGGAAUUACUGGGCGUAAAGCGUGCGUAGGCGGUUUAUUAAGUCAGAUGUGAAAGCCCCGGGCUUAACCUGGGAACUGCAUUUGAAACUGGUCAACUAGAGUAUGGUAGAGGAAAGUGGAAUUUCUGGUGUAGCGGUGAAAUGCGUAGAUAUCAGAAGGAACAUCAAUGGCGAAGGCAGCUUUCUGGACCAAUACUGACGCUGAGGUACGAAAGCGUGGGUAGCAAACAGGAUUAGAUACCCUGGUAGUCCACGCCGUAAACGAUGAUAACUAGCCGUUGGGGGGAUUUACCCCUUAGUGGCGAAGCUAACGCGUUAAGUUAUCCGCCUGGGGAGUACGGCCGCAAGGCUAAAACUCAAAGGAAUUGACGGGGACCCGCACAAGCGGUGGAGCAUGUGGUUUAAUUCGAUGCAACGCGAAGAACCUUACCUGGUCUUGACAUCCUGCGAACUUUCUAGAAAUAGAUUGGUGCCUUCGGGAACGCAGUGACAGGUGCUGCAUGGCUGUCGUCAGCUCGUGUCGUGAGAUGUUGGGUUAAGUCCCGUAACGAGCGCAACCCCUAUCCUUAUUUGCCAGCACAUUAUGGUGGGAACUAUAAGGAGACUGCUGGUGAUAAACCGGAGGAAGGCGGGGACGACGUCAAGUCAUCAUGGCCCUUACGACCAGGGCUACACACGUGCUACAAUGGGAAGGACAAAGAGCCGCGAAGCCGCGAGGUGUAGCUAAUCUCAUAAAUCUUUUCGUAGUCCGGAUUGGAGUCUGCAACUCGACUCCAUGAAGUCGGAAUCGCUAGUAAUCGUAGAUCAGAAUGCUACGGUGAAUACGUUCCCGGGUCUUGUACACACCGCCCGUCAUACCAUGGGAGUGGGUUGCACCAGAAGUGGCUAGUCUAACUUAGUGAGGACGGUCACCACGGUGUGAUUCAUGACUGGGGUAAAGUCGUAACAAGGUAACC
Molecule: ribosomal RNA, 1501 nt
Filed under: uncultured marine microorganism
Description: 16S ribosomal RNA
Rfam family: Bacterial small subunit ribosomal RNA
Source: RNAcentral